This 75-nucleotide transfer RNA is filed under the name Bacillota bacterium. RNAcentral's name for it is "Firmicutes bacterium (sediment metagenome) tRNA-Val". It matches the Rfam family "tRNA". From Rfam's summary of the family: Transfer RNA (tRNA) molecules are approximately 80 nucleotides in length. Their secondary structure includes four short double-helical elements and three loops (D, anti-codon, and T loops). RNAcentral also lists the same sequence under 4 other names. Lineage: Bacteria; Bacillati; Bacillota. The record is from RNAcentral.
GGGCGCUUAGCUCAGAGGAAGAGCGCCUCUCUGACGCAGAGGAGGUCGGAGGUUCAAGUCCUCCAGCGCCCACCA